GAUGAACGCUGGCGGCGUGCCUAAUACAUGCAAGUCGAGCGAACGGACGAGAAGCUUGCUUCUCUGUUGUUAGCGGCGGGCGGGUGAGUAACACGUGGAUAACCUACCUAUCAGACUGGGAUAACUUCGGGACACCGGAGCUAAUACCGGAUAAUAUUUUGAACCGCAUGGUGCAAAGGUGAAAGACGGUCUUGCUGUCACUUAUAGAUGGAUCCGCGCUGCAUUAGCUAGUUGGUAAGGUAACGGCUUACCAAGGCAACGAUGCAUAGCCGAACUGAGAGGGUGGUAGGCCACCUGGGAACGUGGACACGGUCCAGACGACUACGGGAGGCAGCAGUAGGGUACGGUACGCAAUGGGGGAAAGCCUGACGGAGCGACGGCGCGCGAGUGAUGACGGUCUUCGGAGCGUAAAACUCGGUUAUUAGGGAAGAACAGAUGUGGAAGUAGAUGUGCCCAUCUUGACGGUACCUAAUCAGAAAGCCACGGCUAACUACGUG
Molecule: ribosomal RNA, 497 nt
Filed under: uncultured bacterium
Lineage: Bacteria
Description: partial 16S ribosomal RNA
Rfam family: Bacterial small subunit ribosomal RNA
Source: RNAcentral